UACAUCCCCGACCCCGUCGUCUCCUUCGCGAACCCUGCCUGAAACCCUCGACAAACAACAGAAAUGGAAACCAUGCCAAAUCUCUCACCCAAACACCAAAUCAAACCUACGCUUGAAGCAAAGUACACCAAAAUUCACCCAAAUUCGUUCAUUUCUGCGGAUUCAAAGCACUACACAGAUAAAUAGAAGGCUUCUACAACAAUUAGUUCACGGCAGAAAUAGAGUCUUCAAUCCUAGAUUAGGAAAGAUCCCACUCCAUCAGGAUAUUUUCCAAAAACGCACAAGGAUUUCGAAUCUAAAAAGGAAAACACAACAACGAAAGGAAGUUCAGGCCCUAAAAUACUUUUGAAGAAGAGAUAAGUAUUUGAUAUUUCUUACGAACUAAGUACAGAAAUGCAAUAAGUUGUAAUAGUUUAGAGCUAAAUAUCUGAUUUUUAAUAGCAAACAAAACACAAUUGUGUGCUAUUUAAGUUCUAUUCAGUUUACGUUUACAACCCUCAUAUCUACAUUGUGCUAUUUAAUACCAUAUGUUGGAAACAUGACUAUUAAAUAUCAUUUUCAACUUAAACUGCAGUGUGAAUAUUAACUGUUAUGCCAUUUUUAAUCAUACAUACACCAGUUUGUUAAAUACGGUUAAGAUUAGUGGUAUGAUGUUUUGAUAUUAAAUAGGUAUCAUGCUGGUAUGAUGUUUUGAUAUUAAAUAGGUAUCAUGCUGGAAAUGGACACACUGUGUUAAUCUGGCUUUCAUUGCAUUGAAGAUGACAAAUUAAAAUUAUUUUCAGGAAGCCAUUAUCUGUUGUUGUACUUGAUAGGCCUUCCAGAUUGAGAGUUACAGUACAUUUCAUGACUUGAAUCAUAAAAUUAAGAGAGAAAGAACACAUACCUCUUCGUCGUGGAAGACGACUUCUUUGCUCUUUAUUUUGGACUAACCUUUUCUUUCCAUGACCAAGUAUGUAGGAAUGACCUUUAGCUUCACAGCACUCCUCCUGUACUUGAAGGAAGGUUGAUAACUCAUUCGCAAAACAGGACAAACCCAUACUGGAAUGCAAGUCUGAUAAUCAAAAGAAAUUUUAUUCUUUUGCGAAUUCGAUAGUUCAACAUGUAAUAUAUAGUCUGUAAUAUAAGUCUAACACUCAAAGAGUUCUGGAUGUACAUUAAUUCUCUUCUUAGUUCCCGAUAAAAGUCCCCUCGAUUCUCGAAUUGUUUUUACCGAUUCGACUUCCUAAACAAA
Molecule: long non-coding RNA, 1231 nt
Organism: Ipomoea triloba (trilobed morning glory)
Lineage: Eukaryota; Viridiplantae; Streptophyta; Magnoliopsida; Solanales; Convolvulaceae
Exons: 4
Source: RefSeq, a predicted model, not a curated record